GACGGAGGAUGCAAUCGUUAAUCGGAAUUACUGGGCGUAAAGCGUGCGCAGGCGGCUUUGUAAGACAGAUGUGAAAUCCCCGGGCUUAACCUGGGAACUGCGUUUGUGACUGCAAGGCUGGAGUGCGGCAGAGGGGGGUGGAAUUCCACGUGUAGCAGUGAAAUGCGUAGAGAUGUGGAGGAACACCGAUGGCGAAGGCAGCCCCCUGGGUUGACACUGACGCUCAUGCACGAAAGCGUGGGGAGCAAACAGG
This 253-nucleotide ribosomal RNA is filed under the name uncultured bacterium. RNAcentral's name for it is "partial 16S ribosomal RNA". It matches the Rfam family "Bacterial small subunit ribosomal RNA", at positions 524 to 776 of the family's 1533-position model. The record is from RNAcentral.